UUAUUUUAAAGACCAAUCUAAACGGUGAAUGAUUUGAUUGAAAGUGAGGGGCCGUGAGGGUUUUCUACAUUUCAACCCUUUGCUAGAGUCAGAUGUUGCAAUUCUCUGUCCACAAAAGAAUGCCCCCUUUUUUUACUCUGUCUAAUUUAAUGCCCAGAUCACGGUGGCAGAAAUUUCCAACCAAACCAGAACUAAGACUGAUAGAAGGUAGCAAUCCAAAACAAAUAAUUAUGCGAAAGUCAUAAAAAUUCAGACUGGUGUGUUUCGUCAUGCUCCAAAUGUCACGUUAAUAUGCAAAUUUAUGAUCUUUAUCAACUCUAAAUUGAACCAAACAACCUUGAGUUACAAGACUGUAUUUUUCUCCCCAACAAUUUAAAAAUUUGAAGUAGUUGGAUGUUCACUUGGAAGUCCCUUUUCCUGUGUGUGGUCAUUUUCCUUAAAAUUGUGGUGUGAAAAUUUUACCUCAGCUAGAUCAGUCUUCUCAUAAAAAGGAAAUUGUGACUGUGAAAAGUAAUCUGUGACUAUUUCCUCCCAAUUUUUCAGGCGGUUAUAUACUAUAAUUGAUCGGUGUGUCUGAAAUAUAUUGUGUUUUGAUAAUUAAAAUACGUUUAUUUUGCUUGCCAGGUGACGGGACGAAAGUGGGCUGACAGGCCGAGUGACGAUGAUGAUGAUGAUCAUUUAGAAAGUCUUGGGCGGAAAGUGACUGAAAUUUUAAACGUUAACUCAUCCCACCACCCGGAAGACAGCUCUGGGCGAGAUGAGGAUGACUCAAACUCAAAUCAUCUAGUUUAUAUUCUCAGGCGAAAAAGCUCAGGACGAAGACCCAUAGGACCCGGUUCCAGAAUCAGGCGGCAUCAUAGGUCUUCCUUCUCUUCAAUCACUCGCUGUGCAAUAGAUGAUGAAAAUGCCGAUAAAAUGUCAAUCUCUUCUGACUCACAACCUCAAAAGAGAACUGCAAAUGGUAUAAGUUCCGACUCAGACAUUGAAUCCAACAGUCUCAGACCGCAACAAAAUCUGGACGAACAAGGUCUCAACCGUCUACAAAGCAACUGUAUUGUCUAGUUUACUCUGUCGCUCACAGUUUAAUAAUUUAUUUUACUUAAGUUACUUUAUUGUUAAGUUACAAUUGUUAGUCUGAAAUAUUUUUUAACUUCCAAGUGUAGCUUAAGUCUUAGUAGGUUCUGGAUGGGUCUUUGGUUCAACCAGCCAGCGGCUCAUUUUUAACAAAGCGUGCUUUCGGUGUCUCAAAAUAUGACAAAGUAUUUGUUUUUGUUGUAGCUAGUCCAUAGUUUGUGCUAAGAAGAAUCUCAACUCUCUCCUUUUUUUGAAGGAAGUUGCAAUUAUAUACAUUCCCAGUGAAAGUUAUCUUCUUUUCCCCUUCAGUUUUCCUCUUUUAACUGAGAGUCAUUCUAAAAGUAAGUUUUGUCGUUUACAUCUCAGAAACUUAGAAGGGUAAAUCCAAUAUGUUAUAAGUUCCCGAUUCUUUAUAUAUAGAGCUUUUCUAAGAGCCCAAGUUUUUGAAAUUUGGACCAGUAGUUAUCAAGAAACUCUAUUUUUAGGCAGGAACCCCCCCCCCCCCCCCCCCCCCGAAGCUCUGUCCACCAAACGAGUAACCCCAUUGCAGACACUCUCUCUUUAAACAAUCAUCAAAUGGCAUUUCCCGUUAAAUCUUCUCCUCUAGAAUGAUUAAGAGACCCAAACCAAUAUUCGUCCUGUGCAUGCUUUUACGCCCUCUUGGAAAGAGAUUAAUGUAUUGAUACAUUUUUAAAAAUUCAAGCAUAGUCCAAAAGCAAGAUGAUAUUUAGUGACAAACUUGACACAAGUUUUGACUGAGCAAAUCUGCACUGACACAGACAACGGUUUUCUACCUUGUAAUGGCACACACUACAAUGUGGCUGACGACCAUUUUUAUGUCAGUGCAUGUAAGACUAUCGAUUCAGGUUGUCAGAACUUGUUUCAUAAGUCUAUCAAUAAAUAUUGUCUGACUCUGGACUGAAACUGGGAGUAAAUUGUUACAAACGUUGCACUAUUUUCAUUUUCCACAGCCGAAAAACAAAUGACAAUGUGAAAUCUACAAUCUGCAACAGUAUUUGAUGACUCUCACAUCACCGAUACUUUGACCAGUAAAUCGUGGUAGAACAUUUUAGUAUUUUAGAUUUUUGUUUAUAUUCUUUUCUUUUGAAAAAAUCAGGAAAAUCCUGCCUAUUACUGAUUCCUCACACAAAGACAGCAAGAACAAUAAUUACGCAGCUGUGAGAUGUAUAUUGGUGUUGGGUCGACAGAACUCUCAAGUUGUUUUCUGCACAAUUUUUUCGCUCCUGAUCCAAAGUGGGCUGGCUGGAGAGCUCUAAAUAUAAAGUCAGGAUCUUCUUACAAUUGUGAUUAAUCAUUUUCAGUUCCUGUAUAGAAUGUGUGAUCUUAUUUUUUGGAUGAUCGUCGUAGCCAAAGGGGCUUAAUUGUAGCUUGGCAAAGUUUCAUGGGGCUAUUCAUUUAUUUACUCAAAACAGUCGCAAAUUUUGUUAAAUUUUUUUUUUUUUUUUUUUGAGUAUUCUUUAUAGUCUCACUAAAAUUCCCCGAAAUUUGCUGCAUGAAUAUGCACCUGUUGAUAAAUAAAAAAUGGAUUUCCAAGGUGAAACUUUGCAAUGCCAAUCAAGCUCAUCUAGCUCUGACUUGUUACAUACGAUAUUCGUCCAAUGAAGCAAAGUAAAAUGAAUUUGUUUACAUAAGAGAGUUAAUUUCUGGAUGAAGUGUACAGAAUCUCUUUGAAACGCAAAUGAGAAAAACAGAAUGGAAACAAAUAGAAAAUUCACUUUUAUUAUAAAAACGAGACCAUAAAAAUAAUACAGCGAUAAUCAGUUAUGAAUGAAAUGUUGAAAAAGAUUCAUCAGGUUAGCGAACAAGCAAUUAGCAGCACAAGAUAUAGCCUUGACAUGUCUUAGAAUUGAGUCAGAUUAAUGUUGUGCACUUCAACUUUUUACCUUUUCAUUUAAACAGUCCCAUUUUCAAAAUCAUUUGUGUUCACCAUUGAUGCAUCAAGAUUAAAAGGAGAUAAUGAAAUAGUAAUUAAGAGAGCAACAUAUACAUUUGUCAUGCUAAAACUUUCCUUUUUAUCUCACCAGUUCUUUUGAUUAGAUACGAUGCUUGGUACCUAAGGAGUGAUGAUAGACAGUCUGCUUGGAGCAGUGCGUGCCAUAAUUUACAAGAGAAAUUCAAAUAAAUUGACUGUAAGUAACUUAACUGAGGACGUUUGAGCCUAAGUGACGCAAGUAUGUAGGUAGAUAUGCAUGUAAUUAAAGUUAAUGAAAUUAAAACAAAUUAAAAAAGGAACUUAAAAAGUAAUUAUCUCCAUACAUCAUUCUCUUCGAAUCAAGUAGAUCAAGAUCCUUUUCCCAGAAAGUUCUAUUUAAUUCUCUGGUCCAGAAAAAGUAGAAAUUUAAGAUUUAAUGGUACAAGAAAUGAUUACACAAGAAAUCGGAUAAUUUUUUUUUAUUGUAAUAAAAUAGGCAACCUUUCAUACAGCAGAAUGAAAGUGACGACAACACAGAAUCAAUAAAUGCCCCUUAAUUAAUGAUCAACAUUAAAAAAACAUUCUUUUAACAGUUUUUUCCCAUAUAACCCACUUAAAUUUGCUCACUUUGACUAACAUUCAUCAAUAUCACUUGACAUUUUUCCACAGUCAAGUUCGUUUACCAAAACUACUAUGAAUUCAAUUUUGAAAAAUGUACUAGCGAAACAUAGGCAAUUCAACUUAAAAAAAUAAAUAAAUUAUCAUUGAUUUACCGAAGACUCAAGGAAGCAAUUUUGUGGUGCACGCACGUAAGAUGUCUAAUUGUUAAUUUUUCAGGUACAAAAUUAGA
This 3857-nucleotide long non-coding RNA is filed under the name Bemisia tabaci. RNAcentral's name for it is "lncRNA ENSSSA3NGG003789". Lineage: Eukaryota; Metazoa; Arthropoda; Insecta; Hemiptera; Aleyrodidae. The record is from RNAcentral.